Molecule: ribosomal RNA, 460 nt
Filed under: uncultured bacterium
Lineage: Bacteria
Description: bacterial SSU rRNA
Rfam family: Bacterial small subunit ribosomal RNA
Source: RNAcentral
AACGAACGCUGGCGGCAUGCCUAACACAUGCAAGUCGAACGAGGACCUUCGGGUCUAGUGGCGCACGGGUGCGUAACGCGUGGGAAUCUGCCCUUGGGUUCGGAAUAACUCAGAGAAAUUUGAGCUAAUACCGGAUGAUGACGUAAGUCCAAAGAUUUAUCGCCCAAGGAUGAGCCCGCGUAAGAUUAGCUUGUUGGUAGGGUAAUGGCCUACCAAGGCGACGAUCUUUAGCUGGUCUGAGAGGAUGAUCAGCCACACUGGGACUGAGACACGGCCCAGACUCCUACGGGAGGCAGCAGUGGGGAAUAUUGCGCAAUGGGGGAAACCCUGACGCAGCGACGCCGCGUGAGCGAAGAAGGCCUUAGGGUCGUAAAGCUCUGUUGUAAGGGACGAAUGUUUAUCUGACGAACAGUCAGAUAAAGUGACGGUACCUUACCAGCAAGCCCCGGCUAACUACGUG